RNAcentral lists this ribosomal RNA (539 nucleotides) under uncultured bacterium. RNAcentral's name for it is "bacterial SSU rRNA". It matches the Rfam family "Bacterial small subunit ribosomal RNA", at positions 355 to 895 of the family's 1533-position model. The record is from RNAcentral.
UGAGGAAUAUUGGUCAAUGGGCGAAAGUCUGAACCAGCCAAGUAGCGUGCAGGAUGACGGCCCUCUGGGUUGUAAACUGCUUUUAGUUGGGAAUAAAAAAGAGGACGUGUCCUCUAUUGUAUGUACCUUCAGAAAAAGGACCGGCUAAUUCCGUGCCAGCAGCCGCGGUAAUACGGAAGGUCCAGGCGUUAUCCGGAUUUAUUGGGUUUAAAGGGAGCGUAGGCGGAUUAUUAAGUCAGUGGUGAAAGACGGUGGCUCAACCAUCGUUAGCCAUUGAAACUGGUAGUCUUGAGUGCAGACAGGGAUGCUGGAACUCGUGGUGUAGCGGUGAAAUGCUUAGAUAUCACGAUGAACUCCGAUCGCGAAGGCAGGUGUCCGGGCUGCAACUGACGCUGAGGCUCGAAAGUGUGGGUAUCAAACAGGAUUAGAUACCCUGGUAGUCCACACAGUAAACGAUGUAUACUCGCGGUUUGCGAUAUAAUGUAAGCCGCCNAGCGAAAGCAUUAAGUAUACCACCUGGGGAGUACGCCGGCNACGGU